Molecule: ribosomal RNA, 611 nt
Filed under: Escherichia coli
Lineage: Bacteria; Pseudomonadati; Pseudomonadota; Gammaproteobacteria; Enterobacterales; Enterobacteriaceae
Description: partial 23S ribosomal RNA
Rfam family: Bacterial large subunit ribosomal RNA
Source: RNAcentral
UUUUGUAUAAUGGGUCAGCGACUUAUAUUCUGUAGCAAGGUUAACCGAAUAGGGGAGCCGAAGGGAAACCGAGUCUUAACUGGGCGUUAAGUUGCAGGGUAUAGACCCGAAACCCGGUGAUCUAGCCAUGGGCAGGUUGAAGGUUGGGUAACACUAACUGGAGGACCGAACCGACUAAUGUUGAAAAAUUAGCGGAUGACUUGUGGCUGGGGGUGAAAGGCCAAUCAAACCGGGAGAUAGCUGGUUCUCCCCGAAAGCUAUUUAGGUAGCGCCUCGUGAAUUCAUCUCCGGGGGUAGAGCACUGUUUCGGCAAGGGGGUCAUCCCGACUUACCAACCCGAUGCAAACUGCGAAUACCGGAGAAUGUUAUCACGGGAGACACACGGCGGGUGCUAACGUCCGUCGUGAAGAGGGAAACAACCCAGACCGCCAGCUAAGGUCCCAAAGUCAUGGUUAAGUGGGAAACGAUGUGGGAAGGCCCAGACAGCCAGGAUGUUGGCUUAGAAGCAGCCAUCAUUUAAAGAAAGCGUAAUAGCUCACUGGUCGAGUCGGCCUGCGCGGAAGAUGUAACGGGGCUAAACCAUGCACCGAAGCUGCGGCAGCGACACUAUG